This 403-nucleotide ribosomal RNA is filed under the name Verrucomicrobiota bacterium. RNAcentral describes it as "Verrucomicrobia bacterium partial 16S ribosomal RNA". It matches the Rfam family "Bacterial small subunit ribosomal RNA", at positions 355 to 776 of the family's 1533-position model. Lineage: Bacteria; Pseudomonadati; Verrucomicrobiota. The record is from RNAcentral.
UGGGGAAUAUUGCACAAUGGGCGCAAGCCUGAUGCAGCAACGCCGCGUGAACGAUGAAGGUCUUCGGAUCGUAAAGUUCUGUUGCAGGGGAAGAUAAUGACGGUACCCUGUGAGGAAGCCCCGGCUAACUACGUACCAGCAGCCGCGGUAAUACGUAGGGGGCUAGCGUUAUCCGGAUUUACUGGGCGUAAAGGGUGCGUAGGUGGUCUUUCAAGUCGGUGGUUAAAGGCUACGGCUCAACCGUAGUUAGCCUCCGAAACUGGAAGACUUGAGUGCAGGAGAGGAAAGUGGAAUUCCCAGUGUAGCGGUGAAAUGCGUAGAUAUUGGGAGGAACACCAGUAGCGAAGGCGGCUUUCUGGACUGCAACUGACACUGAAGCACGAUAGCGUGGGUAGCAAACAGG